GGCUUGCUGGUCUAGUGGUAUGAUUCUCGCUUUGGGUGCGAGAGGUCACGGGUUCGGUUCCCGUGCAAGCCC
RNAcentral lists this transfer RNA (72 nucleotides) under Dendronephthya gigantea. RNAcentral describes it as "tRNA-Pro". It matches the Rfam family "tRNA". From Rfam's summary of the family: Transfer RNA (tRNA) molecules are approximately 80 nucleotides in length. Their secondary structure includes four short double-helical elements and three loops (D, anti-codon, and T loops). The record is from RNAcentral. Lineage: Eukaryota; Metazoa; Cnidaria; Anthozoa; Malacalcyonacea; Nephtheidae.